UUUCAUACUAAAACAAAAGUAACGUAUGUUCAAAGGAAAAAAAAGGAAAGAAUUCAAGGGCAUCUCCGAGACCAACUCUUCCAUCUCAGUAGUAUAAUCCUAAGCAUCUUCUUAAAAGUGGCUAGAUAAUUUCCCAUUUUUACAGACAGGUAAACAGACAGGUAGGCUCCUUAGUGAGACAGUACCAAUGCCCAGCAAUCAGGUACCCAGCGUUUCCCUGAUGAAUAGAGCCCCAAGGCCCUUAAUCAGCUGAAGGAGCCACUAGCCAACACUUGCAACUGCAUCCAAUCUACCAAGCCUUUUGCUGUCCACUCACUCCCCGAGACCUUGUUCUUCGCGUCAUUCCGAAUUUGUACUCUGGGGACACUCACCCCCAAAUUUGCAGGGCCUCUCCAUAGGCCCCUAGGUUACACCACCCUUAAUCAUUUGUUUGGCUCACAGAGCUGGCAGAGGCUGUCCUGUCAGGAGGCGGGUACAAGGGGCUGCCUGUGAGUAGCUGAGGGUGUCGGGCCUGACCCUCUUCUUCCCUGGAGUCUGGUCGUCAGUGCAGCAGGACAC
RNAcentral lists this long non-coding RNA (558 nucleotides) under Bos taurus (domestic cattle). Its description in RNAcentral is "long non-coding RNA NONBTAT016107". The record is from RNAcentral. Lineage: Eukaryota; Metazoa; Chordata; Mammalia; Artiodactyla; Bovidae.